Molecule: long non-coding RNA, 468 nt
Filed under: Ananas comosus (pineapple)
Lineage: Eukaryota; Viridiplantae; Streptophyta; Magnoliopsida; Poales; Bromeliaceae
Description: long non-coding RNA (ACOM_LNC030008)
Source: RNAcentral
UGGGAAAGGGGAGAAAAAUUAAAAUAUAGGAUUAAUUGCAUACAGGUCCUUACAAAUAUAUUAAAUUAUAAAUAUAUUUCUAUAAAAAUUUUAAUAUUUUUAAAUAUGUUCCUGCCAUUAGCUAGAAUCCGUUAAAAAAAUAUAGUUAACCAUAGAUUAAAUAUUUAAUCCUAAUUAGUUUAUGAGAUAACUUGAUAUUUUUACCUAUUUUAUAUUUUACUGUUGUGGCUUUUAAAGUGACAUAUAUAUUUGUGAUGGCAAAAUUGAUAUUUUACUUAUUUACUGUUAAAAUAUAAACAAUUCUUUAACGGUAAUAAAUCAGAACGACAUAUUUGAAAAUAUUAGAACUUUUGUACAGAGAACAUAUAAAAAUUAAAGAUUGUAGAAAUAUAUUUAUAUAUAAUUUAUUAUAUUUGUAGGAACCUGUAUGCAUUUAACCCUAAAAUAUAUAUUUAUGUGGACAUUAAU